GACGUAGGGGGCGAGCGUUGUCCGGAUUUAUUGGGCGUAAAGAGCGCGUAGGCGGCCCGGAAAGUCGGAUGUGAAAACCCGGGGCUCAACCCCGGGCCUGCAUCCGAUACUCCCGGGCUGGAGGCAGGUAGGGGAGAUCGGAAUUCCCGGUGUAGCGGUGAAAUGCGCAGAUAUCGGGAAGAACACCCGUGGCGAAGGCGGCUCUCUGGGACGGUACUGACGCUGAGACGCGAAAGCGUGGGGAGCGAACAGG
Molecule: ribosomal RNA, 253 nt
Filed under: uncultured bacterium
Lineage: Bacteria
Description: partial 16S ribosomal RNA
Rfam family: Bacterial small subunit ribosomal RNA
Source: RNAcentral